RNAcentral lists this long non-coding RNA (593 nucleotides) under Homo sapiens (human). RNAcentral describes it as "DLGAP4 antisense RNA 1". Lineage: Eukaryota; Metazoa; Chordata; Mammalia; Primates; Hominidae. The record is from RNAcentral.
UGAGACCCCAGCUCAAAGACGACACACGGAGAAGGGAGCCAAGCAGCACUGACCGAUGUGGGCAGCGUUAUUGCCGACCAGGAAUUUGUCCCUGGACUUCCCCUCCGCACUGCUCCAUGCUCACCUUCCUCUUCUCGGGGGUCUCCACCAGCUGCCAGCUGUUGGCCUUGAGGUGGUAGAGUUCAUCGAACUUCAUGCUGAUAUCCUCGAUGGACAGCUGUAGCAGGUCCCAGAACCCUGCCAGGUCCUGGGCUGUGGGGCGUGGGUUGGCAUCAGGGUUCUGUGGGCCAGAUGGGGAUCAGUGGGGCCAGCUCAGCAGAGGCUUGUCCUGCUCCCCCCAACCCCCCAACAAGCAGGGUUCCUCUGGGCCCUGCCAGCACCCGCGGGGGCUCUUGAGGCCUAGUGUCUGGGGAAGAAACAGAAGUUCUUGGCCAUGGUGUGACAGUGACACCGAGAGAAGCCCGAUUCACUCCCAGGUUUCUGCUCACAGGUCACCUGGCCAGGGAUGCCCUCCCUGACCACCCUGAAUGCAACAGCAACACCGACCCUGCCUGUGCAGUGGACACUAUACUGCUCUUACCCUUCCUGGUUAU